GACGAACGCUGGCGGCGUGCCUAAUACAUGCAAGUAGAACGCUGAAGGAGGAGCUUGCUUCUCUGGAUGAGUUGCGAACGGGUGAGUAACGCGUAGGUAACCUGCCUGGUAGCGGGGGAUAACUAUUGGAAACGAUAGCUAAUACCGCAUAAUAGCAGUUGUUGCAUGACAACUGUUUGAAAGGUGCAAUUGCACCACUACCAGAUGGACCUGCGUUGUAUUAGCUAGUUGGUGGGGUAACGGCUCACCAAGGCGACGAUACAUAGCCGACCUGAGAGGGGGAUCGGCCACACUGGGACUGAGACACGGCCCAGACUCCUACGGGAGGCAGCAGUAGGGAAUCUUCGGCAAUGGACGGAAGUCUGACCGAGCAACGCCGCGUGAGUGAAGAAGGUUUUCGGAUCGUAAAGCUCUGUUGUAAGAGAAGAACGAGUGUGAGAGUGGAAAGUUCACACUGUGACGGUAGCUUACCAGAAAGGGACGGCUAACUACGUG
RNAcentral lists this ribosomal RNA (495 nucleotides) under uncultured bacterium. Its description in RNAcentral is "partial 16S ribosomal RNA". It matches the Rfam family "Bacterial small subunit ribosomal RNA", at positions 28 to 507 of the family's 1533-position model. The record is from RNAcentral.